This 370-nucleotide ribosomal RNA is filed under the name uncultured organism. RNAcentral's name for it is "bacterial SSU rRNA". It matches the Rfam family "Bacterial small subunit ribosomal RNA", at positions 526 to 896 of the family's 1533-position model. The record is from RNAcentral.
CGUAGGGUGCGAGCGUUAAUCGGAAUUACUGGGCGUAAAGCGUGCGCAGGCGGUUUGUUAAGAUAGGCGUGAAAUCCCCGGGCUCAACCUGGGAAUUGCGAUGGAGACUGCAAGGCUAGAAUCUGGCAGAGGGGGGUAGAAUUCCACGUGUAGCAGUGAAAUGCGUAGAGAUGUGGAGGAACACCGAUGGCGAAGGCAGCCCCCUGGGUCAAGAUUGACGCUCAUGCACGAAAGCGUGGGGAGCAAACAGGAUUAGAUACCCUGGUAGUCCACGCCCUAAACGAUGUCUACUAGUUGUCGGGUUUUAAUUAACUUGGUAACGCAGCUAACGCGUGAAGUAGACCGCCUGGGGAGUACGGUCGCAAGAUUA